This is a non-coding RNA of Yersinia enterocolitica subsp. palearctica PhRBD_Ye1, 65 nucleotides long. The record is from Rfam. NCBI's taxonomy places the organism in Bacteria, Pseudomonadati, Pseudomonadota, Gammaproteobacteria, Enterobacterales, Yersiniaceae.
CCCCAUACUGUUUUUCUGAAUUCAGUAUGGGGACUCAUUCAGUCUGCAACGAGGGUCCGCUCGUG